RNAcentral lists this ribosomal RNA (403 nucleotides) under uncultured bacterium. RNAcentral describes it as "bacterial SSU rRNA". It matches the Rfam family "Bacterial small subunit ribosomal RNA", at positions 355 to 774 of the family's 1533-position model. The record is from RNAcentral.
UAGGGAAUAUUGCAAAAUGGGCGAAAGCCCGAUGCAGCAACGCCGCGUGGGCGAUGAAGGCCUUCGGGUCGUAAAGCCCUUUUUGAGGGGAUGAGGAAGGACAGUACCCUCAGAAUAAGCCUCGGCUAACUACGUGCCAGCAGCCGCGGUAAAACGUAGGAGGCGAGCGUUAUCCGGAUUUACUGGGCGUAAAGCGCGUGCAGGCGGAUUGGAGAGUUGGAUGUGAAAGCUCCCGGCUUAACUGGGAGAGGUCGUUCAAUACUUCCAGUCUUGAGUGCAGUAGAGGGAAGUGGAAUUCCGGGUGUAGUGGUCAAAUGCGUAGAUAUCCGGAGGAACACCAGUGGCGAAAGCGGCUUCCUGGACUGUAACUGACGCUCAGACGCGAAAGCUAGGGUAGCAAACG